UACGGAGGGUGCGAGCGUUGUCCGGAAUCAUUGGGCGUAAAGGGCGCGUAGGUGGCCCCUCAAGCGUGCGGUGAAAGUCAGGGGGCUCAACCCCUGAUCGGCCGUGCGAACUGGGGAGCUUGAGCACUGUAGAGGCAGGCGGAAUUCCGGGUGUAGCGGUGGAAUGCGUAGAGAUCCGGAAGAACACCGGUGGCGAAGGCGGCCUGCUGGGCAGUUUUGCUGACACUGAGGCGCGACAGCGUGGGGAGCAAACAGG
RNAcentral lists this ribosomal RNA (256 nucleotides) under uncultured bacterium. RNAcentral describes it as "partial 16S ribosomal RNA". It matches the Rfam family "Bacterial small subunit ribosomal RNA", at positions 524 to 776 of the family's 1533-position model. The record is from RNAcentral.